AUUAUUUAUUUCAAAUACAUAAUUAAGCAAACAUCCUUAUUUGAGACGAGAGCAAACAGACACACACAUACGAGGAGUGGUCCUGUUUUCUUCGUUAAGGAGAUGUUCGUCGAUCCCUUGGGACAUUUCUGUAAGGAGCUGGACAAGAGUCUCAGGGUGAGCCACCUCCUCAGUCCUCACUAAUUUUCUCAUACUCAAUGUGCCAGUGCACAAUACUUCCAGACCCUUCAUGCUUAGGGGUCGCCUGGAUCGUCAACACAAAGUUCUUGUACUCUUUCCUGAGAUCACCUUCUAUAAUCCUCAUCUUGAACAGAAUGGUUUUAUCAAAUAGUGCAUAAAUUUAACUUGCCAUGAACGUAGUUCCAGACGAUGAUUGAGCCGAGUUUGCCCCAUUCGCCUUCGUGCAGAUCACAUCCCUUAAUGUGGCCCGGGGAUGCUUUGGGGAUAUGGUGUGGUCUCUGCGAACAUGUGAUGGAACUUUUCAGCCGAAGCUUUGAUCUCCACUUCUAUCUAAAGCUUCCCCAGCAAACAAGACGGUUCUGCCAUGUUUUUUUCUUAUCUUAAGAAAAUGGAUGGUUAUGAUUUUAGGAGAGGAGUGAGUUUUUAGCAUGCUCUAUUUAUUGUCCAUUCAAAUAAUAUCAUGAAUAGUUUUGUGGCCAAAUUCAUAUGUGGUCACGGAUUCAAAAUCAUUAUCAUAAUAAUUUGUAUA
Molecule: long non-coding RNA, 709 nt
Organism: Brassica napus (rape)
Lineage: Eukaryota; Viridiplantae; Streptophyta; Magnoliopsida; Brassicales; Brassicaceae
Exons: 2
Source: RefSeq, a predicted model, not a curated record